GAGAUUUUUGAGGCAAUUGCAAAAACUGCGAAGAAAAAGAGUAAAAAGGCUUCUACUUAACCAUAUUAUACUACAGUUUAUGGAGGAAGGCAGCAAGAAUGUUUAUUUUUGCUUCGUGAUUAUAUUUAUGAUUAUUCAUUGCUGCAAGUAAGUCAAUCUGAGGUGCAGUUUGUAUCAGAAAAACAAAAAAAGAGCAAACAAGCUGGGACGACAAUGUCUAUUCUGGCAAUUUGUAAUCUCCUUCAACCUGGGCAGUAGUUGCAUUGUAAAAUUUAUGACGGUAAAACAUCUCACGUCUCUAAGAAUCUGACGAGCUUUGUUGAUUGAUUUUUUAUCUUCAAUUAGCAGUUGCACCAGAUGAAUGGG
Molecule: unclassified non-coding RNA, 366 nt
Filed under: Hevea brasiliensis (rubber tree)
Lineage: Eukaryota; Viridiplantae; Streptophyta; Magnoliopsida; Malpighiales; Euphorbiaceae
Source: RNAcentral